RNAcentral lists this ribosomal RNA (474 nucleotides) under uncultured bacterium. RNAcentral's name for it is "partial 16S ribosomal RNA". It matches the Rfam family "Bacterial small subunit ribosomal RNA", at positions 28 to 507 of the family's 1533-position model. The record is from RNAcentral.
GACGAACGCUGGCGGCGUGCUUAACACAUGCAAGUCGAGCGGUAAGGCUCCUUCGGGAGUACACGAGCGGCGAACGGGUGAGUAGCACGUGAGUAAUCUGCCCUUCACUUCGGGAUAACCACCGGAAACGGUGGCUAAUACCGAAUACGACCAGUCUUCGCAUGAGGUGCUGGUGGAAAGUCUUUUCGGUGAAGGAUGUGCUCGCGGCCUAUCAGCUUGUUGGUGGGGUAAUGGCCUACCAAGGCUUCGACGGGUAGCCGGCCUGAGAGGGUGACCGGCCACACUGGGACUGAGACACGGCCCAGACUCCUACGGGAGGCAGCAGUGGGGAAUAUUGGACAAUGGGCGAAAGCCUGAUCCAGCAACGCCGCGUGAGGGAUGACGGCCUUCGGGUUGUAAACCUCUUUCAGUACCGACGAAGCGCCCUGUCGGGUGGUGACGGUAGGUACAGAAGAAGGACCGGCCAACUACGUG